Molecule: RNA transcript, 4755 nt
Organism: Quercus lobata
Lineage: Eukaryota; Viridiplantae; Streptophyta; Magnoliopsida; Fagales; Fagaceae
Gene name: ABC transporter C family member 3-like
Exons: 10
Source: RefSeq, a predicted model, not a curated record
AACUACUCUUUAAUCAUGUACUCAGGUACUGAUUUUCUCAUGAAACCAGUUUUACUACGUGGGUUUUCUGGUUCUUUACACCUGCUUUUGUUAUUUGUGUUGUUUAUCAAGUUGGUAUGCAAUAAAUUCAAAGUGGGUCAUAGUGAAGGUCCAAAGGAAAGGUUUAAGAACAUCAGGUGUUUGUACUAUAAACAGGCUCAAAUUUGUUGUUUGGGUGUUUCUGUGUUUAGUCUAGUGUUGUGCUUGUUGAAUUACUUUUAUUGGGAUAGAAAUGGUUGGUCUGAUGAAGGGCUAGUGACCCUUUUGGAUUUAGCGCUCAGAACACUCGCUUGGGGUGCACUUUGUGUUUAUUUGCGUACCCAAUUGUUUAAUUCAGGUGAAUCGAAGAACCCUUUUCUACUGAAAGUUUGGUCGGGUUUCUUCCUUAGCAUUUCUUGUUAUUGUCUUGUUAUAGAUAUUGUUCUUUAUAGAGAACAUGUUCGUUUACCAGUUCAAAAUUUAGUUUCCGAUGUCGUGUCUGUCAUUUUGGGUUUGUUUUUCUGUUAUGUGGGUUUUAGUGGGAAGGAGGGUGAAGAUACCCUUCUUGAAGAACCUCUUUUAAAUGGGGAUUCUAAUACCAGUAAUGAAGUUGAGUCAAAUAAGUCGAAGGGGAGUGAAAAUGUAACCCCUUAUUUGAAUGCUGGAUUUUUCAGCAUUCUUACUUUUUCUUGGAUGGGUCCUUUAAUUGCAAUUGGCAAUAAGAAGACAUUAGACCUUGAGGAUGUCCCUCAACUUGGUCCUAGUGAUAGUGUAUUUGGGGCCUUUCCAACAUUUAAAAAUAAGCUUGAGGCAGAGUGUGGUACAAGUAAUGGAGUGACCACACUGAAGCUGGCAAAGUCACUAAUCUACUCAGCAUGGAAAGAGAUUCUUUUAGCUGGCCUAAACGUGCUGACAUUCUCACUGGCUUCCUAUGUUGGACCAUAUCUUAUUGAAACUUUUGUUCAAUACCUCAAUGGGCGGAGACAGUACAAGAAUGAGGGCUAUGUUCUGGUUUUAGUGUUUUUUGCUGCAAAACUUCUGGAAUGCAUCUCGCAGAGGCACUGGUUCUUUAGGGUGGCACAGGUUGAAAUUAGGGUUCGAUCAGUAUUGAUUACAUUGAUUUAUAAUAAAGGUCUUACCCUUUCAUGCCAGUCAAAGCAGGGCCACACUAGUGGGGAGAUCAUCAAUUUCAUGACUGUUGAUGCUGACAGAGUUUCUGAUUUCAGUUGGUAUAUACAUGAAACUUGGAUGAUUCUUGUUCAAGUUGUUAUUGCGAUGUUACUUUUGUAUAAAAACCUUGGGCUUGCUUCAAUUGCGGCUUUGGUUGCAACCAUACUUGUUAUGUUGGCUAAUGUUCCUUUGGGAAGAUUAUAAGAAAAGUUUCAGGACAAGUUAAUGGAAUCAAAGGACAAAAGGAUGAAGGCAACAUCUGAGAUUUUAAGGAACAUGAGGAUUCUCAAGCUUCAAGGAUGGGAAAUGAAGUUUCUAUCAAAAAUCAUGGAGCUCAGGGGAACAGAGGCGGGGUGGUUGAAGAAGUUUCUUUACACUUCGGCAUUUACCUCUUUUGUCUUCUGGGGUGCUCCUACAUUUGUGUCCGUGGUCACUUUUGGUUCUUGUGUGUUGAUGGGGAUUCCACUUGAGUCGGGGAAGAUCUUAUCUGCACUUGCAACGUUUAGGAUUCUUCAGGAGCCCAUCUAUAGUCUUCCUGAUACAAUCUCAAUGAUAGCUCAAACGAAAGUGUCCCUUGAUCGAAUUGUGUCCUUCCUUUGUCUUGAUGACUUGCAGUCUGAUGUGAUAGAGAGGCUUCCAAGAGGUAGUUCUGAUACAGCAAUAGAGAUUAUUGACGGGAAUUUUUGUUGGAAUUCAUCUUCGUCAAGUGCAACAUUAAAAGAUAUAAAUUUUAAAGUGCAACAAGGCAUGAGGGUUGCUGUUUGUGGGACUGUUGGCUCAGGCAAGUCAAGUUUGCUUUCCUGUAUCCUGGGAGAAGUACCUAAGAUAUCUGGGACUGUUAAGUUAUGUGGGACAAAGGCAUAUGUUGCUCAGUCACCUUGGAUACAGAGUGGCAAGAUUGAAGAGAACAUAUUGUUUGGCAUGGAGAAGGAAAGAGAAAAGUAUGAGAAGGUCCUUGAAGCGUGUUCCUUGAAGAAGGACUUACAAAUUCUCCCAUUUGGUGAUCAAACAGUAAUCGGUGAGAGAGGAAUCAAUUUGAGCGGUGGGCAGAAGCAAAGGAUCCAAAUUGCGCGUGCUUUGUACCAAGAUGCUGAUAUCUAUUUGUGUGAUGAUCCGUUUAGUGCAGUGGAUGCUCAUACAGGAUCCCACCUGUUUAAGGAAUGUUUGCUGGGACUUUUGGAUUCAAAAACAAUUGUUUAUGUUACUCAUCAAGUGGAGUUCUUACCUGCUGCUGAUCUUAUCUUGGUGAUGAAAGAUGGUAGGAUUACUCAAUCUGGAAAGUAUAAUGAUAUUCUCAAUUCAGGAACUGAUUUUAUGGAACUCGUGGGAGCACAUAAGGAAGCUUUUUCAGGACUUGAUUUCACCAUGGCUGGGUCGGUUUCUGGAAGUAUGAGCAAGGAAGGUGGAAAUCUGGACAGUACUAAUUGGGUUGUGGAAAAACAAGAAGAUAAAGAUGUUCAAAAUUGUAAAGAAGAUGAUGUAGUCAGUUCAAAAGGACAGAUUAUCCAAGAAGAAGAGAGGGAGAAAGGUGGAGUUGGGUUUUCAGUCUAUUGGAAAUUUAUUACUAUGGCAUAUGGAGGAAGUCUUGUGCCAAUUAUAUUGCUGGCACAAGUUCUCUUUCAGACCCUUCAAAUUGGUAGCAAUUAUUGGAUGGCUUGGGCAACUUCUGUCUCCGAGGAUGUGAAACCUUCAGUUGAUAGCUCUACCCUAAUGAUUGUUUAUGUUGCUUUGGCCAUUGGAAGUUCUUUUUGUGUCCUUGUGAGAUCCAUGCUUCUUAGAACAGCUGGAUACACUACUGCCAAUCAACUCUUCAGCAAGAUGCACUUCUGCAUUUUCCGUGCCCCCAUGUCAUUUUUUGAUGCCACUCCAAGUGGACGAAUCCUAAGCAGAGCUUCUACUGACCAAAGUGCAGUGGAUUUGUCUAUUCUAAAUCAAAUGGGGUCAGUUGCCUUCUCAAUUAUCCAGCUUCUUGGAAUUAUUGCUGUAAUGUCUCAGGUUGCAUGGCAGGUUUUCAUCAUUUUUAUCCCAGUUAUUGCAACCUGUAUCUGGUAUCAGCAAUAUUACAUACCUUCUGCACGAGAACUAUCAAGAUUAGUUGGAGUGUGCAAGGCUCCAGUGAUACAACAUUUUACUGAAACAAUUUCAGGCGCAACAACCAUCAGGAGCUUUGAUGAAGAAUCAAGAUUUAGGGACACAAAUAUGAAACUGGCAGAUGCAAAUUCUCGGCCAAGAUUCAAUAUUGCUGGUGCAAUGGAGUGGUUGUGCUUCCGCUUGGAUAUGUUAUCUUCCAUAACAUUUGCGUUCUCCUUGGUCUUUUUGAUCUCUAUACCAGAGGGAGUCAUUGAUCCAGGCAUCGCGGGCUUAUCUGUGACAUAUGGACUUACUCUAAACAUGUUGCAAAGGAGGGUAAUAUGGUUUCUUUGCCAAAUGGAGAACAAAAUUAUAUCAGUAGAAAGAAUGUUUCAAUACACUUGUAUCCCAAGCGAGCCAGCUCUCGUGAUAGAAGAAACUCAACCAGAUCAUUCUUGGCCAUUGCAUGGAAAAGUUGAUUUUCAUGAUCUUCAAGUACGGUAUGCCCCACACAUGCCACUUGUAUUACGUGGCCUCACAUGUACUUUCCCUGGAGAAAUGAAAACUGGCAUUGUAGGGCGAACAGGUAGUGGUAAAUCAACUCUCAUACAAACGCUUUUCCGGAUUGUUAAACCUGCUGCGGGUCAGAUAAUAAUAGAUGGCAUCAACAUCUCCGUGCUUGGACUACAUGAUUUGCGAUCUAGACUAAGCAUUAUCCCUCAGGAUCCAACUAUGUUUGAAGGGACUGUAAGAAGCAAUCUGGAUCCACUUGAAGAGUACACAGAUGAACAAAUUUGGGAGGCUCUGGAGAAGUGUCAACUUGGAGAUGAAGUUAGAAAGAAAGAGGGAAAAUUGGAUUCUACAGUCAGUGAGAAUGGAGAAAAUUGGAGUGUGGGUCAGAGGCAGCUGGUCUGCCUUGGCCGUGUGCUGCUUAAAAAAAGUAAGGUAUUGGUGCUUGAUGAAGCUACUGCAUCGGUUGAUACAGCUACAGAUAAUCUAAUUCAGCAGACCCUCAGGCAACAUUUUUCCAACUGUACAGUCAUUACCAUUGCACAUCGGAUAACUUCCGUUCUUGAUAGUGACAUGGUUCUGCUACUAAAUAAUGGGCUUAUUGAGGAACAUGAUUCUCCAACAAGAUUGCUUGAAAACAAAUCAUCUUCUUUUGCUCAACUUGUAGCAGAGUACACUGUGAGGGCAAAUUCGAGCUUUGGGAAGUAAAGUUGUUGAGAUUAUUUGUGAUUUGUUUGACUCUGGCAACUUUGUUGACAAUGACUAAAAUUAAGUGUUUUUGUAGUCCUGUUUGAACUGUGAGAAGGAUAUCAGUGGGAUUUAGGUGACCUAGCUAGUUAGUGAUUACUUUAGUACAUUUCAGAUAGGAGAUUGUAAUAAUGGUUUUUGACAAGAGUAACUAAGUUGUAACUUUUAUGCUUGAAAUGGCACUAUAUGUGUUUUUGGCAUAUUCUAUCAACAAAGAUUUGUCCAGCUCGUUAGGCUUAA